GACGAACGCUGGCGGCGUGCUUAACACAUGCAAGUCGAGCGGUAAGGCCCUUUCGGGGGUACACGAGCGGCGAACGGGUGAGUAACACGUGGGUGACCUGCCCUCAGCUCUGGGAUAAGCCUGGGAAACCGGGUCUAAUACUGGAUAUGACUCCAUGACGCAUGUUGUGGGGUGGAAAGCCUUGUACGGCUGAGGAUGGGCCCGCGGCCUAUCAGCUUGUUGGUGGGGUGAUGGCCUACCAAGGCGACGACGGGUAGCCGGCCUGAGAGGGCGACCGGCCACACUGGGACUGAGACACGGCCCAGACUCCUACAGGAGGCAGCAGUGGGGAAUCUUGCGCAAUGGGCGAAAGCCUGACGCAGCGACGCCGCGUGAGGGAUGACGGCCU
RNAcentral lists this ribosomal RNA (388 nucleotides) under uncultured bacterium. RNAcentral's name for it is "bacterial SSU rRNA". It matches the Rfam family "Bacterial small subunit ribosomal RNA", at positions 28 to 417 of the family's 1533-position model. The record is from RNAcentral.